UACGUAGGUGGCAAGCGUUAUCCGGAUUUAUUGGGUGUAAAGGGCGUGUAGGCGGGAGCGCAAGUCAGAUGUGAAAACUUAGGGCUCAACCCUGAGCCUGCAUUUGAAACUGUGUUUCUUGAGUGCUGGAGAGGCAAUCGGAAUUCCGUGUGUAGCGGUGAAGUGCGUAGAUAUACGGAGGAACACCAGUGGCGAAGGCGGAUUGCUGGACAGUAACUGACGCUGAGGCGCGAAAGCGUGGGGAGCAAACAGG
RNAcentral lists this ribosomal RNA (253 nucleotides) under uncultured bacterium. RNAcentral describes it as "partial 16S ribosomal RNA". It matches the Rfam family "Bacterial small subunit ribosomal RNA", at positions 524 to 776 of the family's 1533-position model. The record is from RNAcentral.